AGAAGCAAAGCCAGGAGAAAAGGGAUUAAAGCCAUCCAUGAGAAGAGUGGACAGGCUCCCAAGGAUCUCCCAUGGGACAUGCAUGGUUGCGUGUUUACCCUUUCUAUUACUUCAUGAUACCCUUAAGUUCUCCUGUGAGGUGAAUCAGGGAGCCUAAAAAGUAUCCUCAAGAGAGGACCCAAAUUCACAAUGAUACAAAGUUGGUUUGUCACCCUAUUCAAACGCAUGUCUACGGUGACAAGACAAGAAAACUCAAGGAGAAAUGCAGCUUAAUAUCACUGUCAUUGCUGGGUAAUCUACCUGUAACAUGCACUGAGACACAACACCCUCUGGAAUCUCCGGGAAACGUUGUCGGAGGUCAUGGAGAAC
Long non-coding RNA from Ailuropoda melanoleuca (giant panda), 369 nucleotides. RefSeq lists it as uncharacterized. Lineage: Eukaryota; Metazoa; Chordata; Mammalia; Carnivora; Ursidae. The record is from RefSeq and is a predicted model, not a curated record. The transcript is spliced from 3 exons.